AGGGGCGUAGUUCAAUUGGUAGAACGACCGGUCUCCAAAACCGGGUGUUGGGAGUUCGAGCCUCUCCGCCCCUGCCA
This 77-nucleotide transfer RNA is filed under the name Actinobacillus equuli subsp. haemolyticus. RNAcentral describes it as "tRNA-Trp". It matches the Rfam family "tRNA". Rfam says of the family: Transfer RNA (tRNA) molecules are approximately 80 nucleotides in length. Their secondary structure includes four short double-helical elements and three loops (D, anti-codon, and T loops). The record is from RNAcentral. Lineage: Bacteria; Pseudomonadati; Pseudomonadota; Gammaproteobacteria; Pasteurellales; Pasteurellaceae.